GCAAACUUGGUCAUUUAGAGGAAGUAAAAGUCGUAACAAGGUUUCCGUAGGUGAACCUGCGGAAGGAUCAUUAUUGAAUAAACUUGGUUGGUUGUCGCUGGCUUUUCGAAGCAUGUGCACGCCUUCCGACUUUAUCCAUCCACCUGUGCACCAUUUGUAGUCUUGAGAGGUUGAAAGCGGCUGACAUCGACCCCCGGUCGGAUAGGGAGAAUGCCCCCUUGGGGCUCUCCUGGGUUGUGAUCACUUCUCAGACUAUGUUUUCACAUAAACUAUGUAGCAUGUCACAGAAUGUAUCGAGUGGGCCUUUGUGCCUAUAAACAUCAAUACAACUUUCAGCAACGGAUCUCUUGGCUCUCGCAUCGAUGAAGAACGCAGC
RNAcentral lists this unclassified non-coding RNA (376 nucleotides) under uncultured fungus. RNAcentral describes it as "partial contains small subunit ribosomal RNA, internal transcribed spacer 1, and 5.8S ribosomal RNA". The stretch from base 1 to 73 matches the Rfam family "Eukaryotic small subunit ribosomal RNA", at positions 1759 to 1831 of the family's 1831-position model. The record is from RNAcentral. Lineage: Eukaryota; Fungi.